This 480-nucleotide ribosomal RNA is filed under the name uncultured bacterium. RNAcentral's name for it is "partial 16S ribosomal RNA". It matches the Rfam family "Bacterial small subunit ribosomal RNA", at positions 28 to 507 of the family's 1533-position model. The record is from RNAcentral.
GACGAACGCUGGCGGCGUGCUUAACACAUGCAAGUCGAACGAUGAAGAAAAGAAUUGAAGCUUCGGCAGAAAUUCAUUGCGGAUUAGUGGCAGACGGGUGAGUAACGCGUGAGCAACCUACCUCUUACAAAGGGAUAGCCUCGGGAAACCGGGAUUAAUACCAUAUAACAUUGCGACGAAGCAUUUCGAUGCAAUCAAAGCUACGGCGGUAAGAGAUGGGCUCGCGUCCCAUUAACCAGCUGGUGAGGUAACGGCUCACCAUAGUAACGAUGGGUAACCGGCCUGAGAGGGUGAACGGUCACUCUGGAACUGAGCCACGGUCCAGACUCCUACGCGAGGCAGCAGUGGGGAAUAUUGCCCUAUCGAGGGAACUCUGAUGCAGCGACGCCGCGUGAGUGAUGAAGGAAUUCGUUUCGUAAAACUCUGUUCUAUGGGAAGAAAAGGACUGUACCCUAGGAGAAAGCUCCGGCUAACUACGUG